UGGGGAAUUUUCCGCAAUGGGCGAAAGCCUGACGGAGCAAUACCGCGUGAGGGAGGAAGGUCCUUGGAUUGUAAACCUCUUUUAUCAGGGAAGAAGUUCUGACGGUACCUGAUGAAUAAGCAUCGGCUAACUCCGUGCCAGCAGCCGCGGUAAUACGGAGGAUGCAAGCGUUAUCCGGAAUUAUUGGGCGUAAAGCGUCCGUAGGUGGUUAUGCAAGUCUGCCGUUAAAGAAUGGAGCUUAACUCCAUAGGAGCGGUGGAAACUGCAAGACUAGAGUACAGUAGGGGUAGCAGGAAUUCCCAGUGUAGCGGUGAAAUGCGUAGAUAUUGGGAAGAACAUCGGUGGCGAAAGCGUGCUACUGGGCUGAAACUGACACUGAGGGACGAAAGCUAGGGUAGCG
Molecule: ribosomal RNA, 400 nt
Filed under: uncultured bacterium
Lineage: Bacteria
Description: bacterial SSU rRNA
Rfam family: Bacterial small subunit ribosomal RNA
Source: RNAcentral